Small nuclear RNA from Sapajus apella (tufted capuchin), 163 nucleotides. RefSeq annotates it as U1 spliceosomal RNA. The record is from RefSeq and is a predicted model, not a curated record. The transcript has a single exon. NCBI's taxonomy places the organism in Eukaryota, Metazoa, Chordata, Mammalia, Primates, Cebidae.
GUGCUUGUGUUGGGGGGAACAAGAUGGUUUUGGGGUUGGUUUUCUCAGGUUGAUGGCUUAUCCUUUGUACUUGAGAUAUGCUGACCCCCGGGGUUUCCCCAAAGGUGGAAAACUUGACUGCAUAAUCAGUGGUAGCAGGUGACUGCAUUCAUGUUUUACUUGU